AUUGAACGCUGGCGGAAUGCUUUACACAUGCAAGUCGAACGGCAGCACGGACUUCGGUCUGGUGACGAGUGGCGAACGGGUGAGUAAUGUAUCGGAACGUGCCCAGUCGUGGGGGAUAACGUAGUGAAAAUUACGCUAAUACCGCAUACGAUCUAUGGAUGAAAGCGGGGGAUCGCAAGACCUCGCGCGAUUGGAGCGGCCGAUAUCAGAUUAGGUAGUUGGUGGGGUAAAGGCCCACCAAGCCAACGAUCUGUAGCUGGUCUGAGAGGACGACCAGCCACACUGGAACUGAGAAACGGUCCAGACUCCUACGGGAGGCAGCAGUGGGGAAUUUUGGACAAUGGGCGAAAGCCUGAUCCAGCCAUUCCGCGUGCAGGAUGAAGGCCCUCGGGUUGUAAACUGCUUUUGUACAGAACGAAAAGGUUUCUACUAAUACUAGGAGCUCAUGACGGUACUGUAAGAAUAAGCACCGGCUAACUACGGGCCAGCAGCCGCCGUAA
Molecule: ribosomal RNA, 500 nt
Filed under: uncultured bacterium
Lineage: Bacteria
Description: partial 16S ribosomal RNA
Rfam family: Bacterial small subunit ribosomal RNA
Source: RNAcentral